GGCCCAGCUGGUACUUCUGGACCACGUGGCAUGCAGGGCAACAGGGGCGCACCAGGAAUCAGGGGGUCACAGGGACCGGCGGGUAAAGAACCAAGCGAUCAACACAUCAGACAAGUCUGCAUGAGAGUUAUGCAAGAGCAACUAGCCCAGUUGGCUGCCAGUCUAAGGAGGCCGGAGUCUGGAGCAGCGGGCCUGCCUGGUAAGCCAGGGCCUCCUGGUCCUGCCGGACCCCCAGGGA
Long non-coding RNA from Oncorhynchus gorbuscha (pink salmon), 238 nucleotides. RefSeq lists it as uncharacterized. The transcript is spliced from 3 exons. The record is from RefSeq and is a predicted model, not a curated record. Lineage: Eukaryota; Metazoa; Chordata; Actinopteri; Salmoniformes; Salmonidae.